Molecule: transfer RNA, 69 nt
Filed under: Ictidomys tridecemlineatus (thirteen-lined ground squirrel)
Lineage: Eukaryota; Metazoa; Chordata; Mammalia; Rodentia; Sciuridae
Description: Spermophilus tridecemlineatus (thirteen-lined ground squirrel) tRNA
Rfam family: tRNA
About the family: Transfer RNA (tRNA) molecules are approximately 80 nucleotides in length. Their secondary structure includes four short double-helical elements and three loops (D, anti-codon, and T loops). Further hydrogen bonds mediate the characteristic L-shaped molecular structure. tRNAs have two regions of fundamental functional importance: the anti-codon, which is responsible for specific mRNA codon recognition, and the 3' end, to which the tRNAs corresponding amino acid is attached (by aminoacyl-tRNA synthetases). tRNAs cope with the degeneracy of the genetic code in two manners: having more than one tRNA (with a specific anti-codon) for a particular amino acid; and 'wobble' base-pairing, i.e. permitting non-standard base-pairing at the 3rd anti-codon position.
Source: Rfam by way of RNAcentral
GGGGUUGUAGCUCAGUGGUAGAGCGCUUGUCUCACACAUGCAACAAGCUGAGUUCGAUCCUCAGUACCA